CAAAGUCUUUACAGACAAAAUGGUGUCACAGUUUCUUUGAAACGGACCGUUUGAUGCUCAGUUUGUACAGCUUGUACAGCUACUUUGUAAACAGAAUAAAAUCAGAUCCAGAUAGCAACAAGAGGCGACACAGAAUUCACAAGGUCAUCUUAGAUGAGAAGAAACGCUUGGCGGCUGCUGUUGACGACUACAACAAGGAAACAAGCAACAAAGCAAAUCGUAUCCAGUGAUGCCCUCAUGCAGAGCGACGUUUGGCCCUGGCAGAGCACAAGUGAACCUGCUGCUGACCUCCGGACAAAGAGAAAGGUCUUUGAGAAGGUGAUGGCUGUGAGGCGCCUGAGAGAG
Maylandia zebra (zebra mbuna) is the source of this 345-nucleotide non-coding RNA. The record is from RefSeq and is a predicted model, not a curated record. Lineage: Eukaryota; Metazoa; Chordata; Actinopteri; Cichliformes; Cichlidae.